GACGAACGCUGGCGGCGUGCUUGACACAUGCAAGUCGAACGGAAAGGCCUGCUUUCCCUUGUGGAUUGCGGGUACUCGAGUGGCGAACGGGUGAGUAACACGUGAGUGAUCUGCCCCCAACUUGGGUAUAAGCCUGGGAAACUGGGUCUAAUUCCCGAUAGGACUGCAGGGUGGUGCCUGUGGUGGAAAACGAUUUUCUAGUGGUUGGGGAUGAGCUCGCGGCCUAUCAGCUUGUUGGUGGGGUAAUGGCCUACCAAGGCGGCGACGGGUAGCCGGCCUGAGAGGGUGGACGGCAACAUUGGGACUGAGAUACGGCCCAGACUCCUACGGGAGGCAGCAGUGGGGAAUAGUGCACAAUGGGCGGAAGCCUGAUGCAGCGACGCCGCGUGGGGGAUGACGGCCUUCGGGUGGUAAACUCCUUUCGACCGCGAGGAAACCACCUGGUUGGAAGGGUGGUGACGGUAGUGGUAGAAGAAGCACCGGCUAACUACGUG
This 494-nucleotide ribosomal RNA is filed under the name uncultured bacterium. Its description in RNAcentral is "partial 16S ribosomal RNA". It matches the Rfam family "Bacterial small subunit ribosomal RNA", at positions 28 to 507 of the family's 1533-position model. The record is from RNAcentral.